AUUGAACGCUGGCGGCAUGAUUAACACAUGCAAGUCGAACGGUAACAGGCCGCAAGGUGCUGACGAGUGGCGAACGGGGGAGUAAGGCAUCGGAACGUGCCCAGUCGUGGGGGAUAACGACUCGAAAGAGGAGCUAAUACCGCAUACGAGCUAAGGAUGAAAGCGGGGGACCGUAAGGCCUCGCGCGAGUGGAGCGGCCGAUGUCAGAUUAGCUAGUUGGUGGGGUAAAGGCUCACCAAGCCAACGAUCUGUAGCUGGUCUGAGAGGACGACCAGCCACACUGGAACUGCGACACGGCCCAGACUCCUACGGGAGGCAGCAGUGGGGAGUUUUGGGCAAAGGGCGCAAGCCUGAUCCAGCAAUGCCGCGUGCAGGAAGAAGGCCUUCGGGUUGUAAACUGCUUUUGUUCGGAACGAACCGGCUCUGGUUAAUCCCCGGGGCUAAUGACGGUACCGUAAGAAUAAGCCCCGGCUAACUACGUG
This 482-nucleotide ribosomal RNA is filed under the name uncultured bacterium. RNAcentral describes it as "partial 16S ribosomal RNA". It matches the Rfam family "Bacterial small subunit ribosomal RNA", at positions 29 to 507 of the family's 1533-position model. The record is from RNAcentral.